GAAGCAGGCCAGACAAUCGCUGGUUGCCGUGAUUUAUCAUGGCGACGGGAGGAAGGUCCGGACUCCAUAGAGCAGGGUGACGGCUAACGGCCGUACGUUGAAAGCCAGGGUGCAAGCCCGGGUAUAAGACGAGGAAUAGGGCCACAGAGACGAGCGUAUUAAGUUACGGUGAAACGCGGUAACCUCCACCCGGAGCAAUUUCAAAUAGGCACGCGUUGAUGUGGCUCGCGGAGCGUGCGGGUAGAAAGCUUGAGCGGCGGAGCAAUCCGUCGCCUAGAGGAAUGAUUGUCAUAGCAGAUGGCAGCAAUGUCUUAUGCCGUAACAGAAUCCGGCCUACCGGCCUGCUUUAUUU
RNAcentral lists this RNase P RNA (352 nucleotides) under Undibacterium hunanense. Its description in RNAcentral is "Undibacterium sp. CY18W RNase P RNA component class A". It matches the Rfam family "Bacterial RNase P class A". Rfam says of the family: Ribonuclease P (RNase P) is a ubiquitous endoribonuclease, found in archaea, bacteria and eukarya as well as chloroplasts and mitochondria. Its best characterised activity is the generation of mature 5'-ends of tRNAs by cleaving the 5'-leader elements of precursor-tRNAs. Lineage: Bacteria; Pseudomonadati; Pseudomonadota; Betaproteobacteria; Burkholderiales; Oxalobacteraceae. The record is from RNAcentral.